This 2921-nucleotide ribosomal RNA is filed under the name Staphylococcus aureus M1281. RNAcentral's name for it is "bacterial LSU rRNA". It matches the Rfam family "Bacterial large subunit ribosomal RNA". The record is from RNAcentral. Lineage: Bacteria; Bacillati; Bacillota; Bacilli; Caryophanales; Staphylococcaceae.
UUAAGUUAUUAAGGGCGCACGGUGGAUGCCUUGGCACUAGAAGCCGAUGAAGGACGUUACUAACGACGAUAUGCUUUGGGGAGCUGUAAGUAAGCUUUGAUCCAGAGAUUUCCGAAUGGGGAAACCCAGCAUGAGUUAUGUCAUGUUAUCGAUAUGUGAAUACAUAGCAUAUCAGAAGGCACACCCGGAGAACUGAAACAUCUUAGUACCCGGAGGAAGAGAAAGAAAAUUCGAUUCCCUUAGUAGCGGCGAGCGAAACGGGAAGAGCCCAAACCAAGAAGCUUGCUUGUUGGGGUUGUAGGACACUCUUUACGGAGUUACAAAGGACGACAUUAGACGAAUCAUCUGGAAAGAUGAAUCAAAGAAGGUAAUAAUCCUGUAGUCGAAAAUGUUGUCUCUCUUGAGUGGAUCCUGAGUACGACGGAGCACGUGAAAUUCCGUCGGAAUCUGGGAGGACCAUCUCCUAAGGCUAAAUACUCUCUAGUGACCGAUAGUGAACCAGUACCGUGAGGGAAAGGUGAAAAGCACCCCGGACGGGGAGUGAAAUAGAACCUGAAACCGUGUGCUUACAAGUAGUCAGAGCCCGUUAAUGGGUGAUGGCGUGCCUUUUGUAGAAUGAACCGGCGAGUUACGAUUUGAUGCAAGGUUAAGCAGUAAAUGUGGAGCCGUAGCGAAAGCGAGUCUGAAUAGGGCGUUUAGUAUUUGGUCGUAGACCCGAAACCAGGUGAUCUACCCUUGGUCAGGUUGAAGUUCAGGUAACACUGAAUGGAGGACCGAACCGACUUACGUUGAAAAGUGAGCGGAUGAACUGAGGGUAGCGGAGAAAUUCCAAUCGAACCUGGAGAUAGCUGGUUCUCUCCGAAAUAGCUUUAGGGCUAGCCUCAAGUGAUGAUUAUUGGAGGUAGAGCACUGUUUGGACGAGGGGCCCCUCUCGGGUUACCGAAUUCAGACAAACUCCGAAUGCCAAUUAAUUUAACUUGGGAGUCAGAACAUGGGUGAUAAGGUCCGUGUUCGAAAGGGAAACAGCCCAGACCACCAGCUAAGGUCCCAAAAUAUAUGUUAAGUGGAAAAGGAUGUGGCGUUGCCCAGACAACUAGGAUGUUGGCUUAGAAGCAGCCAUCAUUUAAAGAGUGCGUAAUAGCUCACUAGUCGAGUGACACUGCGCCGAAAAUGUACCGGGGCUAAACAUAUUACCGAAGCUGUGGAUUGUCCUUUGGACAAUGGUAGGAGAGCGUUCUAAGGGCGUUGAAGCAUGAUCGUAAGGACAUGUGGAGCGCUUAGAAGUGAGAAUGCCGGUGUGAGUAGCGAAAGACGGGUGAGAAUCCCGUCCACCGAUUGACUAAGGUUUCCAGAGGAAGGCUCGUCCGCUCUGGGUUAGUCGGGUCCUAAGCUGAGGCCGACAGGCGUAGGCGAUGGAUAACAGGUUGAUAUUCCUGUACCACCUAUAAUCGUUUUAAUCGAUGGGGGGACGCAGUAGGAUAGGCGAAGCGUGCGAUUGGAUUGCACGUCUAAGCAGUAAGGCUGAGUAUUAGGCAAAUCCGGUACUCGUUAAGGCUGAGCUGUGAUGGGGAGAAGACAUUGUGUCUUCGAGUCGUUGAUUUCACACUGCCGAGAAAAGCCUCUAGAUAGAAAAUAGGUGCCCGUACCGCAAACCGACACAGGUAGUCAAGAUGAGAAUUCUAAGGUGAGCGAGCGAACUCUCGUUAAGGAACUCGGCAAAAUGACCCCGUAACUUCGGGAGAAGGGGUGCUCUUUAGGGUUAACGCCCAGAAGAGCCGCAGUGAAUAGGCCCAAGCGACUGUUUAUCAAAAACACAGGUCUCUGCUAAACCGUAAGGUGAUGUAUAGGGGCUGACGCCUGCCCGGUGCUGGAAGGUUAAGAGGAGUGGUUAGCUUCUGCGAAGCUACGAAUCGAAGCCCCAGUAAACGGCGGCCGUAACUAUAACGGUCCUAAGGUAGCGAAAUUCCUUGUCGGGUAAGUUCCGACCCGCACGAAAGGCGUAACGAUUUGGGCACUGUCUCAACGAGAGACUCGGUGAAAUCAUAGUACCUGUGAAGAUGCAGGUUACCCGCGACAGGACGGAAAGACCCCGUGGAGCUUUACUGUAGCCUGAUAUUGAAAUUCGGCACAGCUUGUACAGGAUAGGUAGGAGCCUUUGAAACGUGAGCGCUAGCUUACGUGGAGGCGCUGGUGGGAUACUACCCUAGCUGUGUUGGCUUUCUAACCCGCACCACUUAUCGUGGUGGGAGACAGUGUCAGGCGGGCAGUUUGACUGGGGCGGUCGCCUCCUAAAAGGUAACGGAGGCGCUCAAAGGUUCCCUCAGAAUGGUUGGAAAUCAUUCAUAGAGUGUAAAGGCAUAAGGGAGCUUGACUGCGAGACCUACAAGUCGAGCAGGGUCGAAAGACGGACUUAGUGAUCCGGUGGUUCCGCAUGGAAGGGCCAUCGCUCAACGGAUAAAAGCUACCCCGGGGAUAACAGGCUUAUCUCCCCCAAGAGUUCACAUCGACGGGGAGGUUUGGCACCUCGAUGUCGGCUCAUCGCAUCCUGGGGCUGUAGUCGGUCCCAAGGGUUGGGCUGUUCGCCCAUUAAAGCGGUACGCGAGCUGGGUUCAGAACGUCGUGAGACAGUUCGGUCCCUAUCCGUCGUGGGCGUAGGAAAUUUGAGAGGAGCUGUCCUUAGUACGAGAGGACCGGGAUGGACAUACCUCUGGUGUACCAGUUGUCGUGCCAACGGCAUAGCUGGGUAGCUAUGUGUGGACGGGAUAAGUGCUGAAAGCAUCUAAGCAUGAAGCCCCCCUCAAGAUGAGAUUUCCCAACUUCGGUUAUAAGAUCCCUCAAAGAUGAUGAGGUUAAUAGGUUCGAGGUGGAAGCAUGGUGACAUGUGGAGCUGACGAAUACUAAUCGAUCGAAGACUUAAUCAA